ACGUCAGUAGUGCAACUGGUCAGCAACGCACUGUCAGAAAGGGUGAGAUGCGGGAUCAAUUCCCGCCGUCUGACGUC
Non-coding RNA from Parelaphostrongylus tenuis, 77 nucleotides. Lineage: Eukaryota; Metazoa; Nematoda; Chromadorea; Rhabditida; Metastrongylidae. The record is from the annotation of a GenBank genome assembly.